GAUGAAGAACGUAGCGAAAUGCGAUACGUAAUGUGAAUUGCAGAAUUCAGAGAAUCAUCGAGUCUUUGAACGCACAUUGCGCCCCCUGGUAUUCCGGGGGGCAGGCCUGUCCGAGCGUCAUUGCUGCCCUCAAGCACGGCUUGUGUGUUGGGCCUCCGUCCUCCUCCCGGGGGACGGGCCCGAAAGGCAGCGGCGGCACCGCGUCCGGUCCUCGAGCGUAUGGGGCUUCGUCACCCGCUCUUGUAGGCCCGGUCGGCGCUUGCCGACACAUCAAUCUUUUUUCCAGGUUGACCUCGGAUCAGGUAGGGAUACCCGCUGAACUUAAGCAUAUCAUAAGCGGAGGA
RNAcentral lists this unclassified non-coding RNA (344 nucleotides) under soil metagenome. Its description in RNAcentral is "partial contains 5.8S ribosomal RNA, internal transcribed spacer 2, and large subunit ribosomal RNA". The stretch from base 1 to 120 matches the Rfam family "5.8S ribosomal RNA", at positions 35 to 154 of the family's 154-position model. The record is from RNAcentral.